CUAGAUAUUUUACACAAAAUAAUUCGCCAGGGGACUACUAGCAAUAGCUUAAAACUCAAAGGACUUGGCGGUGCUUUAUAUCCCUCUAGAGGAGCCUGUUCUAUAAUCGAUAAACCCCGAUAAACCUCACCACCUUUCGCUAAUUCAGUCUAUAUACCGCCAUCUUCAGCAAACAAACAUCG
This 182-nucleotide ribosomal RNA is filed under the name Canis lupus (wolf). Its description in RNAcentral is "partial small subunit ribosomal RNA". Lineage: Eukaryota; Metazoa; Chordata; Mammalia; Carnivora; Canidae. The record is from RNAcentral.